RNAcentral lists this ribosomal RNA (119 nucleotides) under Mycena sp. ECO-1. RNAcentral describes it as "partial 28S ribosomal RNA". It matches the Rfam family "Eukaryotic large subunit ribosomal RNA", at positions 1 to 118 of the family's 3401-position model. Lineage: Eukaryota; Fungi; Basidiomycota; Agaricomycetes; Agaricales; Mycenaceae. The record is from RNAcentral.
UUGACCUCAAAUCAGGUAGGACUACCCGCUGAACUUAAGCAUAUCAAUAAGCGGAGGAAAAGAAACUAACAAGGAUUCCCCUAGUAACUGCGAGUGAAGCGGGAAAAGCUCAAAUUUAA